This 436-nucleotide ribosomal RNA is filed under the name uncultured bacterium. RNAcentral describes it as "bacterial SSU rRNA". It matches the Rfam family "Bacterial small subunit ribosomal RNA", at positions 29 to 512 of the family's 1533-position model. The record is from RNAcentral.
AACGAACGCUGGCGGCAGGCCUAACACAUGCAAGUCGAGCGCGCCUUCGGGUGAGCGGCGGACGGGUUAGUAACGCGUGGGAACGUGCCCUUCUCUACGGAAUAGCCUCUGGAAACGGAGAGUAAUACCGUAUACGCCCUUUGGGGGAAAGAUUUAUCGGAGAAGGAUCGGCCCGCGUUAGAUUAGGUAGUUGGUGGGGUAACGGCCUACCAAGCCUACGAUCUAUAGCUGGUUUUAGAGGAUGAUCAGCAACACUGGGACUGAGACACGGCCCAGACUCCUACGGGAGGCAGCAGUGGGGAAUCUUAGACAAUGGGGGCAACCCUGAUCUAGCCAUGCCGCGUGAGUGAUGAAGGCCUUAGGGUCGUAAAGCUCUUUCGCCUGUGAUGAUAAUGACAGUAGCAGGUAAAGAAACCCCGGCUAACUCCGUGCCAGA